UCAAAAUGAAGUUGCCUGGUAGACUGUUGGUGCUGUUGUUCUGGAUUCCUGCUUCCAGCAGUGAUGUUGUGAUGACCCAAACUCCAGUUUUGCUGCCUGUCAGCCUUGGAGAUCAAGCCUCUAUCUCUUGCAGGUCUAGUCAGAGCCUUGUACAUAAUAAUGGAAAUACCUAUUUGCAUUGGUACCUGCAGAAGCCAGGCCAGUCUCCUCAGCUCCUGAUCUACAAGGUUUCCAACAGAUAUUCUGGGGUCCCAGACAGGUUCAGUGGCAGUGGGUCAGGGACAGAUUUCUCACUCAAGAUCAGCAGAGUGGAACCUGAGGAUUUGGGAGUUUAUUACUGCUUCCAAAGUACAUAUUUACCUCCCACAUUGAUGCAGACCCUAAGAAAAAUGUCCUUGCUUGGAGUAUCACAGCUGUCAAAUAAGUUAGUUAUCUGUGUGAGAGGGAAGUGUUUUGGGACUGCAGAUUAUGUGGUGCAGCUGACAGCAUGUGCAUCUUGGCUACAGCUCACUGAUCAUUCUUUUUGCCUUCAUUGGCUACAAUAGCAAUGAUAUUGCUUCUGCUUCAGUAGAAUAGUGAACAGAUGGCCUGGCAGCAACAAACAAUGAUGGUUGUAAAACAUAGUGUAAACCCAUUUUUUUCCUACAAGCCUUGUCUUCUUGUCUUUCUUUGUUACUCAACAUUAUCCAGUAAAGCAGACAGGAAACUGAGAAGCAUUUCUUUGUUAAAUUCUCUCACUUACUAAUAAUUGCUUCAUUUG
Molecule: non-coding RNA, 760 nt
Organism: Grammomys surdaster
Lineage: Eukaryota; Metazoa; Chordata; Mammalia; Rodentia; Muridae
Source: the annotation of a RefSeq genome assembly